UGGCGAACGGGUGAGUAAUACGUGAGUAACCUGCCCUUGACUCUGGGAUAAGCCUGGGAAACUGGGUCUAAUACUGGAUACUACCUCUUACCGCAUGGUGGGUGGUGGAAAGGGUUUUACUGGUUUUGGAUGGGCUCACGGCCUAUCAGCUUGUUGGUGGGGUAAUGGCUCACCAAGGCGACGACGGGUAGCCGGCCUGAGAGGGUGACCGGCCACACUGGGACUGAGACACGGCCCAGACUCCUACGGGAGGCAGCAGUGGGGAAUAUUGCACAAUGGGCGGAAGCCUGAUGCAGCGACGCCGCGUGAGGGAUGACGGCCUUCGGGUUGUAAACCUCUUUCAGUAGGGAAGAAGCGAGAGUGACGGUACCUGCAGAAGAAGCGCCGGCUAACUACGUGCCAGCAGCCGCGGUAAUACGUAGGGCGCAAGCGUUGUCCGGAAUUAUUGGGCGUAAAGAGCUCGUAGGCGGUUUGUCGCGUCUGCUGUGAAAGCCCGGGGCUCAACCCCGGGUCUGCAGUGGGUACGGGCAGACUAGAGUGCAGUAGGGGAGACUGGAAUUCCUGGUGUAGCGGUGAAAUGCGCAGAUAUCAGGAGGAACACCGAUGGCGAAGGCAGGUCUCUGGGCUGUUACUGACGCUGAGGAGCGAAAGCAUGGGGAGCGAACAGGAUUAGAUACCCUGGUAGUCCAUGCCGUAAACGUUGGGCACUAGGUGUGGGGGACAUUCCACGUUUUCCGCGCCGUAGCUAACGCAUUAAGUGCCCCGCCUGGGGAGUACGGCCGCAAGGCUAAAACUCAAAGGAAUUGACGGGGGCCCGCACAAGCGGCGGAGCAUGCGGAUUAAUUCGAUGCAACGCGAAGAACCUUACCAAGGCUUGACAUUCACCGGACCGCCCCAGAGAUGGGGUUUCCCUUCGGGGCUGGUGGACAGGUGGUGCAUGGUUGUCGUCAGCUCGUGUCGUGAGAUGUUGGGUUAAGUCCCGCAACGAGCGCAACCCUCGUUCUAUGUUGCCAGCACGUGAUGGUGGGGACUCAUAGGAGACUGCCGGGGUCAACUCGGAGGAAGGUGGGGAUGACGUCAAAUCAUCAUGCCCCUUAUGUCUUGGGCUUCACGCAUGCUACAAUGGCCGGUACAAAGGGUUGCGAUACUGUGAGGUGGAGCUAAUCCCAAAAAGCCGGUCUCAGUUCGGAUUGAGGUCUGCAACUCGACCUCAUGAAGUCGGAGUCGCUAGUAAUCGCAGAUCAGCAACGCUGCGGUGAAUACGUUCCCGGGCCUUGUACACACCGCCCGUCAAGUCACGAAAGUUGGUAACACCCGAAGCCGGUGGCCUAACCCCUUGUGGGAGGGAGC
This 1350-nucleotide ribosomal RNA is filed under the name Kocuria rosea. Its description in RNAcentral is "bacterial SSU rRNA". It matches the Rfam family "Bacterial small subunit ribosomal RNA", at positions 96 to 1453 of the family's 1533-position model. The record is from RNAcentral. Lineage: Bacteria; Bacillati; Actinomycetota; Actinomycetes; Micrococcales; Micrococcaceae.